AUGACUUUUGAACAACUGGGUUCAUGCUGGUUUGGAGCAACCAUUUUGCCUGUCUGACCCACACAGAAAAGCUGCAGCAUCGAGAGAAACAGACAUUGCAAUCUCAUCACUUUCAACAGCAAAUAGAAACAUGGGAUCUUAAACAUGCAUUUCUAAUUUGAACAACACAACCAAUAGCUUUUCUAUUUUCCAUUUUUUUCCAAAGGAUGAAAUGAGUAGGUUUCAAGCAUUAUUGAAGCAAAAUGAAUGCUAUCCUUGCAUUGGAUUACUCUUUGACUGAGAAAGCAAAGUAACUGGAGGAGAAAGAAAGGAUCACAUAAAUCUGACAUCACAGAGCAGCCAGAAAACUUGCAGAUAUAUACAGUCUCAAGGAUUCCCAACUAGUGAAAUCCUAGAACCUAGGAUCGAACUUUCAAAAGUAUUUUAGAAGCAGUCUGAAGAGUAAUGUCAAUGUGAAGACAAGCCAUUCUGUGAUUGUUUGAACAGCUGGAAGCCAGACAAGAGAACAUAUGAUCUCUCUUCUUCUCAAUGUUACUCCCGAACG
Gavialis gangeticus (Gharial) is the source of this 544-nucleotide long non-coding RNA. RefSeq lists it as uncharacterized. Lineage: Eukaryota; Metazoa; Chordata; Crocodylia; Gavialidae. The transcript is spliced from 3 exons. The record is from RefSeq and is a predicted model, not a curated record.